Molecule: ribosomal RNA, 486 nt
Filed under: uncultured bacterium
Lineage: Bacteria
Description: partial 16S ribosomal RNA
Source: RNAcentral
GUAGUUAGCCGUGUCUUGCUCCUAUGGUACCAUCAUUUGUUUUUUCCCAUAGAACAGAAGUUUACAAUCCGAAAACCUUCAUCCUUCACGCGGCGUUGCUGGGUCAGAGUUUCCUCCAUUGCCCAAUAUUCCUAACUGCUGCCUCCCGUAGGAGUCUGGACCGUGUCUCAGUUCCAGUGUGGCCGAUCAGCCUCUCAGCUCGGCUACCCAUCGUUGGCUAGGUGGGCCGUUACCCCGCCUACUACCUAAUGGGACGCGAACCCCUCCUUCUGCGGAUUGCUCCUUUGACCCCUGAGCCAUGCGACUCUGUGGUCUUAUGCGGUAUUAGCACUUGUUUCCAGGUGUUAUCCCCCUCAAAAGGGCAGGUUGUUCACGCGUUACUCACCCGUUCGCCACUAGCUAUAAAUCCGAAAACCUAUAGCCCGUUCGACUUGCAUGUGUUAGGCACGCCGCCAGCGUUCGUCCUGAGCCAGGAUCAAACUCUGA